AAGCGUUUAUGACCAGACUUGGGCUUGGUUAAUCAUCUGGGGUUCUCCCCAGUGCACUUUUCCAGUCCAGGCCAGCAUCAGUUUUCCCCGGGGGAUAAAGACUUCGGGAAUGUGGCUCUCUUCGGGGAGUGUUAUAGCCC
RNAcentral lists this ribosomal RNA (140 nucleotides) under Fusarium fujikuroi. RNAcentral describes it as "partial large subunit ribosomal RNA". The record is from RNAcentral. Lineage: Eukaryota; Fungi; Ascomycota; Sordariomycetes; Hypocreales; Nectriaceae.